GAGGGUAUAGCUCAGUGGUAGAGUGCAUGCUUAGCAUGCACAAGGUCCUAGGUUCAAUCCCCAGUGCCCCCA
RNAcentral lists this transfer RNA (72 nucleotides) under Camelus bactrianus (Bactrian camel). It matches the Rfam family "tRNA". Rfam says of the family: Transfer RNA (tRNA) molecules are approximately 80 nucleotides in length. RNAcentral also lists the same sequence under 1 other name. Lineage: Eukaryota; Metazoa; Chordata; Mammalia; Artiodactyla; Camelidae. The record is from Rfam by way of RNAcentral.